UACGGAGGGUGCGAGCGUUGUCCGGAAUCAUUGGGCGUAAAGGGCGCGUAGGUGGCCCGGUCAGUCAGUGGUGAAAGCGCGGGGCUCAACUCCGCGUCGGCCAUUGAUACUGCUGGGCUUGAGCACUGUAGAGGCAGGCGGAAUUCCGGGUGUAGCGGUGGAAUGCGCAGAUAUCGGGAGGAACACCAAUGGCGAAGGCAGCUCGCUGGGACGGUACUGACGCUGAGACGCGAAAGCGUGGGGAGCAAACAGG
This 253-nucleotide ribosomal RNA is filed under the name uncultured bacterium. RNAcentral's name for it is "partial 16S ribosomal RNA". It matches the Rfam family "Bacterial small subunit ribosomal RNA", at positions 524 to 776 of the family's 1533-position model. The record is from RNAcentral.